Molecule: long non-coding RNA, 1173 nt
Filed under: Homo sapiens (human)
Lineage: Eukaryota; Metazoa; Chordata; Mammalia; Primates; Hominidae
Description: non-protein coding lnc-CAPN6-1:1
Source: RNAcentral
UUCUUCAACUGUGAUGCCAUGAUGGUUGGAGAAAAGCUGGUGGAAAAUCUGAAGAUCUGAGAAGGUGAGGUGAACUCAAUUGGGGACACGACAUUUUACAAAUCAUUAAGCCUACAACUAUGUGCUGGGCCUUAGUUUUCCCAUCAGAGGAACAGUGACUCCUAGAUGGUCAUAGAGGGCACAUUGGCCCAGCACAACUAACACUGCACCCCUUAUGGUACAGAUGUUAGUGAAAAUGAUAUUAAGGCUUUCGUUUCUUUAAUAACAUACAAAGUGCUUUAGUUUAUAUACCAUUUAAAGGAGGGGCUAAGUUUGGUGUUCACAGUGCUCAAAAUUAUACAGUCAAUGAGUUAAGCUCACCAUGGAGCUAAGGAAAAUGGGUUUCAUUGAUCCUGGAAUUGAUACAUUUGCUCCUCAUAUGAGCACUGAUGAAAGGAAUAUUCUAGAUUACAGAUACUUAUCCUGAUAGUAUAGGCUAUUCUGAUAUUAAUCCACAUGCCUACAUCAUUGGUUAACAGAUCAGUCCAAGUGGCAUCCAUGCAACUCUGCCAUUGGAGAGUUAGCCUGCAUGGAUUUGAAAUGUUCAUAAAUGCUGCUUCUUGCAUGAACGUUUUAGUAUUUUCUCUCAGUGUAGGGGAUAAAACCUUUAUCAUUCAGGAUUUGGUAAUAUGAUCCUUCAUACAAUGAAUUAUUUAUAUCAUUUUGAUGCUAGAUGUGUUGGUGUUGGUAAGAUUGAUGAGAUCACAUGGAAUCCAGAUAAUGUUUAUCCAGAGGAGUUAGAAGACUCUAAAUUACCAACUGGGAACAUUAUUGUCUUUUCUACAGUCAAACCUUAUGAUAGAAAUAUCCUGAAAGCAGAUUAUAAUAUAUGCACUUCUGAGUAAAGUGAAAAACAGCUUACCAAGCACAAUGCUUGCAAAAUCAAAACAAAAAUCACUGCUGAAGGUGGUAAUGGACCAAUAGCAGCAGGGAUUAAGAUCUUCAUUAUGGUGAAUAGUUUGAUAAUCCCCAUUUUCUACUUGAAUUCUAGAGGAGUAACUAUCUUAUUUAAAUAAUUUUAAAAUAUCUGAAUUAUGUCAGCUACAUAUAUUUAAAUAUAAAAGGAAUUUUAACUCCAUUUGCUAAUGUCUGUUCAAGAGAGUUUAGAAUGAAAAUGUGGAAAGCCUAGUGGGG